This 76-nucleotide ribosomal RNA is filed under the name Listeria marthii. Lineage: Bacteria; Bacillati; Bacillota; Bacilli; Caryophanales; Listeriaceae. RNAcentral also lists the same sequence under 1 other name. The record is from RNAcentral.
CGAACACGGUAGUUAAGCUUCUCCGCGCCAAUGGUAGUUGGGGGUUUCCCCCUGCGAGAGUAGGUCGCUGCCGGGC